GCUCAUACGCAACACGCGCACUCUUGUCGUUCAUGAGUUCUUCAGACACUCUUGUCGUUCAUAUCUCGCUCUUCUAGGGUUUCUCCGUUUUUUCUCCUCCACAAUCUCGAUGUUUUCUCCAAUUCAUGGACACACUCUGUUUAUGCCGUCUCUUUCCUUCCGAUUCUCUCAUCACUCCAUCUCCCUCCUCGAAGAACACGAUGCGGUUGUAAUCUCUCCGCGUUGGCAAGGAGAAGCGAUGCGCGAGAGAAUGAUUUCGUAAUCAUCUUGUUCAAGCAGGGCGUCCGAGUCGACAAUCAUCCCGGCCUUGCAAACUAUCACGCCGUGCUUCCUCUUUACGUCUUCAAUCGCGGAUUCUUUCUCGUGCGUAUGCCUCUUCUUCUGCAUUAUAUUUCUCUAUUUUGUCUGUGUUUAUUUUUAGGUUUUUCAUUGUUGUUCAAUUUUUUUAAGGUUUUUCUUUGCAGUCAAUUCUAUACCUCGAAUUUGAACUUCUUUCUCUCAUGGACACUCUCUUGCACGCGCUCUCUCUCUCCUUCCGAUUCUCCUUUCUCUCUGUUUCCCUCCUCGGCGAACACGAUGAGGUUGAUCUCUUUUCUCGCCGUCGACGAGAGGCAAUUUUAAGAAUAAUUCCUCAAUUUUCUCGUUCAAGCAGGAUCUCCGGCUCGAAUGUAAUCCUGGCUUUGUAGCCGUGCCUCCGAGUAUCGGGCUGUGGUGUUCCGUUACGUCUUCGAUCGCUGGAUUCUUUCUAGUGUGUAUGAUUCUUCUGCUUUUUCUUAUAUUCCUAUUUUCUCUCUUUAAUUUUUCUCUGUAGGUCAAUUGUUUUAUGUUAUUCUUUAUCUUGCCUACACUAAUCUCUUGUUGAAACCUACAAUCUAUACUCCCUUACUACUUUUAUGGACACUCUCUGUUCAUGACACUUCAUGACCUAUUAUACGCGAUCUCCGACAUUCCAAUUCUCUUAUCAAUCCUCCUCAAUUCUUGAAUAACACUAUGCAGUUGUUUACUAUCGACCCCCGGCAAGAAGAGGCUAUGCUGAUGCAGCUCCGUAAUUCUCGGGUUCAAGUAGGAUUUCCGUAUCAGGCGUUGUAACUGCCCCAAGUUUCAGGCGGUGGUUCCUAUCUACUUACAGAAUCUCAGAAUUGUAUAUGACGCCUAUCGGGACUCUAAAGUCUUAACAGAUGCUUUUGAAGCAAAAUCAGGUUUAUAACUUUAGUCUCUGUGCCUUGGAAAGCUGAUGCCACAAUCAAUUGUAAAGACAAGGACCUCUUUCCUCUGCUGGAAUGAUUUAUAUCCAUAGCUAAGGUGAGCAUCCUCGUUUCCCGCUUGAUGAAGAUCCCUUUUAUUAUAACAUGGGAUUUAUAGUUAUUUUGUCUCAUGGAGACGGUUUUGUGGAAGGCACACACCUUCUUUCCUGGCAAGGUUCACCUAGGACUAGGAGAGUGCCUUGAUGUGAGGUGUCGGGUCCACCCCACACACACACACACACACACACACACACACACAAUUUUAAUCGCCCUAUAUUGACAAAGAAGGCGUCAGGUGCUUGGAUUUGUUUUUUUACAUGAUUUCAUUUUUUAUUUAUUGUGUUGGAUAAUGCAUGCUUUUAAUUUAGAAGAGAAGUUUGUGUGAAAUCCUAAAAUAAGCUUUACAGUUCUCCUGGGAAAAAGAGGGAAUUGUUGGACCAUUUUGUUGGGAGAGAAAGGAACACAGGAGAAAGAAUAAAAAGGAGCACAAAAGUUUACUUUGGAGGCAUGGGAUUUUUUUAUAAGUGAUUUCAUUUGUGAUAUAUUGUGUUGGAUAAUGCGUAUUUUUAUUUAAAAAUUCUUUUUUGUUUUCUUUAAUUUGGUCCCUGAUAGGUUGAUUACCUAGCAGGGUGAUAAUGGGUCUUGGUGCCUUACUCAUGCUAAUAAUCGCCCUAGAAUGACCGAAGUUUAGUUUGGACGCGUGGAUUUGUUCUUUUAUAAGUGGUUUUAUUUUGAUUUAUUUUGUUGGAUAAUGCAUACAUUUAAUUUGAAAAUUCCUUUUCUAUCGUUAGUUUGGUGCCUCAUAGGGCGAUUGCCUAUUACCUUGGCUGAUAGGGGCUGCCUUAAGCACCCUAUCUGCUUUUAAUCGCUCUAUAAUGACAGAAGUUGGCUUCAGGUGCCUGGAUUUGUUCUUUUUACAUUGUUUCAUUUUUUAUUUUGUUGUGUUGGAUGAUGCAUAUUUGUAAUUUAGAAUUUUCUAUUCUUCUUUAAUCUGGUGCCUGCAUGAGGCUUCUGAUGCCUGGCAAAGUGCCUUGUUAUCCUUGGGGAUUCUAAUAUCAGCCAAACUGCCUAUGUUCUUCUUGAGAAUAUUGUAAGUGUAAGACAAUCGAUGCACCUGGUGACUUUGAAUUAUGAUACCUAAUUGUUGACUUGCCCUUCUGAGUUGCUAGGAGGAUGAUUUGGGGGAUUGAAAUUUGAAACUUGUAUGUAUGGUAGGGAAAAGCCUGUUGGAUAGUCCCUGAUCACAAAGGGUACUUCCUGGUGACUUUGUAUUGUGAUACCUAAUUGUUGACUUGCCCAUCUGAGUUGCUAGGAGGAUUAUUUGGGGGAUUGAAAGUUGAAACUUGUAUGUAUGGUAGGGAAAAGCCUGUUGGAUAGUCCCUGAUCACAGAGGGUACUUUGGAGACGGUGAACUAAGGUCUAUUCUUCAGGUUUUUCUGCUUCUCUCAUGUUUGAUGUAUGGCCAUGGUUUGGCCUUUUCAUUCGGUCUUGGAACUCCCGUGCUGGUAAUUUUUGUAUAUCAUUUGGAUUAGAAUUGGUAAUGUUUGCAUAUACCACGAAAUGCUGUGCCAAUAUAAGUUUUGUAUUGU
This is a long non-coding RNA of Tripterygium wilfordii, 2833 nucleotides long. RefSeq lists it as uncharacterized. The record is from RefSeq and is a predicted model, not a curated record. Lineage: Eukaryota; Viridiplantae; Streptophyta; Magnoliopsida; Celastrales; Celastraceae. The transcript has 3 exons.